RNAcentral lists this long non-coding RNA (1409 nucleotides) under Ananas comosus (pineapple). RNAcentral describes it as "long non-coding RNA (ACOM_LNC036890)". Lineage: Eukaryota; Viridiplantae; Streptophyta; Magnoliopsida; Poales; Bromeliaceae. The record is from RNAcentral.
CGGAGUUUUGCAUCACGAGUUAGAGUCAACCCGAGGACGGUCUUAGCGGGAGGAAGCUGAGGGCCCGCGAUGAUGGACUUAAUGUGGGCAAGUUAAUGCGGCGAAACCCCCGGGUUAGCCGUGAGAUUAAAGAACAAAGAACAAGGAUUAAAGAAUAAAGAGUAAAGAAUAAAGAACUUGCAUACUUGUAUGAUUUACGUUGAGCAUACUUUCUGCUUUAUUGUUCAAGCAUAUUAGCAUCAUGAUUAUAGUUUGGUUACUAUUCUGCUUAUCCUUUCUAUUAUGCCUGAGUUAGUCCUAGUGGAAAAGUAGGUGAGAUUGGGGCCGAACCCACUUGGAACUUUGUUGUAGUUCUCACUCCACUAUUUCCACAGAGCCGUGAACGAGCGAGCCGGCGAGCGACCGUGGUAAAGGUAUCGCACCAUAGUCAUAGGCCACCAGAGUUGGGUUAUUUCAUAUUUUGAUAGUAGCUACCCUAUUGUCAUCUUUUGUACUUGAAGUUGUUUAACGUAAAGUAAAGAAUGUAAAAGCUUUAUUUUGAGGCAAUGUGAUGUAAAAAGAAAUGAUGCAAGUGAUGUAAUGAAAUGUAAAGACUUUAUGAAUGUACAAGUUGGAUGAAAUGGAUGCAUGUAUGUGAUCAAAAGAGAGUCAUAGUACUUGUGUAGAUGUUUAGUUUCCUUUCUUUCACUCAUGGCUAUUGCUUACCCUCGUGUAAGCCGUUUGUGUAUGUUUCGGCUAGUGCUUUUCUCUACUUGAAAAUGUACAGGUGAUGAGCCUUCGGCGGACAGGGGAAACUCUGUCCGUUUGGCAUCUGUUUGACGUGCCCGGGCCGGCCAAAAUUGAUAUCGGUCCCGGGACAUGACAGAUAUUGUGGUAUCAGAGCCUAGAGUGAAAGAAUAGGAAUGGACCUAGAGACCCUUAGGAUUGGAAAACCUUAAGGAUCUAAGAAACGUGAGUGACGUGGAAUUAAAGUUAGCGAAAGCAUGUGAUUGGGUCAAGUUGCGAUGUCUCUAAUGUGAUUAGAGGCUAAGUUUGAAUUGAUGUUCGUUCCCUACUCCUUAUUUUGUGUCGGGCGGCCGACGACAUAAUGCUUGGGGCGAGAACGAAUGCAUAAGUUGCUUUCGCCGGAUUGGGUAUGGUCAAGUAGCUAAUGUGUAUUGCUUCGUUUCAGGAAGCAAUGGCUCGUCGUGGACCUCAAACUAGGUCAAUGCCCGAGGAGCCGAGUGCAGAGCCCGGGCGAUCCAGAGCGAGUGGCGACGAAGAGCUUAGGGAUCAAUUGGCUGCACUUAUUGGAGUAGUGCGGCAGCAAGCAGAGUCUGUGCGAAGCCAAGGGGAGCAGAUCCAAAGGCUCCAAGAGGCUAUUGAGCGACAACAUGCGGCGGCGACGCAAGCGCGCGCUGGACCUCCUG